RNAcentral lists this long non-coding RNA (309 nucleotides) under Phoenix dactylifera (date palm). Its description in RNAcentral is "long non-coding RNA (PDAC_LNC015926)". Lineage: Eukaryota; Viridiplantae; Streptophyta; Magnoliopsida; Arecales; Arecaceae. The record is from RNAcentral.
GAGGUAAAAGGAUAUUUAUUAAGAAUAAGAAUGUCUAUACAAUUCCAAGAAUAUGAAAUUAAAUAAACAAAACCCGUCUUCCUUUGCUAGGGCUGCAUCCAGCACUAGAGAAGGGUUCAGCCUUCCAUGGAGUUGUGGACGACGGCAGUGAAGAAGGACGAAGACGGCAUGGCUGGUGUCUUUAGUCGGAGAAGGAAGUGUGAUGAUGCGAUGGUAGAAGAAGCUCUAUUUCCCCCUCCCCUCCUUCGUUCCAUUUCAUUUUUUUUUCUUUCCAUGGGAAGUCUUCCCAUAAUACCCAAAAGUAUUCUC